AGACGCUGGCGGCAGGCUUAACACAUGCAAGUCGAACGAAGUCUUCGGACUUAGUGGCAGACGGGUGAGUAACGCGUGGGAACCUACCCUUUGGUACGGAACAACAGUUGGAAACGACUGCUAAUACCGUAUGAGCCCUACGGGGGAAAGAUUUAUCGCCAAAGGAUGGGCCCGCGUUGGAUUAGCUAGUUGGUGGGGUAAAAGCCUACCAAGGCGACGAUCCAUAGCUGGUCUGAGAGGAUGAUCAGCCACACUGGGACUGAGACACGGCCCAGACUCCUACGGGAGGCAGCAGUGGGGAAUAUUGGACAAUGGGGGCAACCCUGAUCCAGCCAUGCCGCGUGAGUGAUGAAGGCCCUAGGGUUGUAAAGCUCUUUCAGCGAGGAGGAUAAUGACGUUACUCGCAGAAGAAGCCCCGGCUAACUUCGUGCCNCAGCCGCGGUAAUUCCGAAGGGGGCUAGCGUUGUU
RNAcentral lists this ribosomal RNA (468 nucleotides) under marine bacterium SE36. RNAcentral's name for it is "bacterial SSU rRNA". It matches the Rfam family "Bacterial small subunit ribosomal RNA", at positions 31 to 545 of the family's 1533-position model. The record is from RNAcentral. Lineage: Bacteria; Pseudomonadati; Pseudomonadota; Alphaproteobacteria; Hyphomicrobiales.